Molecule: ribosomal RNA, 206 nt
Filed under: uncultured bacterium
Lineage: Bacteria
Description: partial 16S ribosomal RNA
Rfam family: Bacterial small subunit ribosomal RNA
Source: RNAcentral
CGUGUAGGCGGCCCGGUAAGUCCGCUGUGAAAGUCGGGGGCUCAACCCUCGAAUGCCGGUGGAUACUGUCGGGCUAGAGUGCGGAAGAGGCGAGUGGAAUUCCUGGUGUGGCGGUGGAAUGCGCAGAUAUCAGGAGGAACACCGAUUGCGAAGGCAGCUCGCUGGGACGUAACUGACGCUGAGACGCGAAAGCGUGGGAGCAAACA